AAAAAGACAAACCCUGGAUUUCCGUGUCCAAUGUUUGACUGUCCGUCUUAUAUAAAAUUUUUUAUAAUUAGUAUUUUCAUUAUUGUUAGAUGAUAAAACAUGAUUAAUACUUUAUAUUGACUUGUCUUUUUAAUUUUUUUCAUAAUUUUUUAAAUAAGACGGACGGUCAAAUGUUGAACACGGAAAUUCAGGGUUUGUCCUUUU
Molecule: non-coding RNA, 204 nt
Organism: Oryza glumipatula
Lineage: Eukaryota; Viridiplantae; Streptophyta; Magnoliopsida; Poales; Poaceae
Source: Rfam